Molecule: long non-coding RNA, 458 nt
Filed under: Homo sapiens (human)
Lineage: Eukaryota; Metazoa; Chordata; Mammalia; Primates; Hominidae
Description: HSALNT0267032
Source: RNAcentral
GGAGGAGGAACUAGCUGGGGAAAGGCUGGGUGGCUGUCACUGGCUGGAACCUGCAGACCAGGGCUGUGCAGAAGACCACCCAUCCACUUCUCCUGAGCCUCCUCCUGAGGAGGAGACAAGGGAACCAUGCCACUGUGAGGCCAAGGAGCUGGGGUCCAAUAUGUGCAAGGAACCUUUCAGAAGAAAGCAGGAAGGAAGAGAGAGUGGCCUGAAUCUUGGAUGACCACACUUUCAAGCCUCUGUAAGGAAGUGCCCUCUUCGCUUCCGGGAGAGCCGCGCGUAUACUCAGAAUGAAGCCUGGAGAAGUGAGUGUACCCACGCUCAGGGCAACAUUCCUCACCCCCGGCUGAGCCCUGUCCCAGCCCCCCACCUGCAGUAUCGGCCAGGCCGGUUAGGUCACAGUGGAGUGGCUCAGACCUGUUGGCCCUGCACCCUGGCAGCUCGCCAGCACCUCCCCA